Molecule: ribosomal RNA, 208 nt
Filed under: uncultured delta proteobacterium
Lineage: Bacteria; Deltaproteobacteria
Description: partial 16S ribosomal RNA
Rfam family: Bacterial small subunit ribosomal RNA
Source: RNAcentral
CGUGUAGGCUGCUUGGAAAGUCGGAUGUGAAAGCCCUGGGCUCAACCUAGGAAGUGCAUUCGAAACUUCCAAGCUCGAGUUUCGGAGAGGAAGGCGGAAUUCUCGGUGUAGAGGUGAAAUUCGUAGAUAUCGAGAGGAACACCGGUGGCGAAGGCGGCCUUCUGGACGAUAACUGACGCUGAGACGCGAAAGCGUGGGGAGCAAACAG